This 374-nucleotide ribosomal RNA is filed under the name Dendrophryniscus proboscideus (beaked toad). RNAcentral describes it as "partial 12S ribosomal RNA". Lineage: Eukaryota; Metazoa; Chordata; Amphibia; Anura; Bufonidae. The record is from RNAcentral.
GAAAUCAAUUACUACUCAAUGUACACAUGCAAGUCUCCGCCCCCCUGUGAAAACGCCCUUAAACCCCUCUAGGGACAAGGAGCCGGUAUCAGGCGCGAAAAUCUGCCCAAAACACCUAGCUUUGCCACACCCACAAGGGACUUCAGCAGUGAUUAACAUUGAAUAUAAGCGAAAGCUAGAUUCAGUUAGAGUAAACAGAGCCGGCUAAUCUGGUGCCAGCCGCCGCGGUUACACCACGUGGCUCAAAUUGAUUUUCACCGGCGUAAAGCGUGAUUAAAGCUAACGACAGUUAGGAUCAAAUUAAAACUAAGCUGUGACACGCUUGUUAAUUAAGAAGCCCAAAAACGAAAGUUAUCCUAAUUUAACCAACUUGA